This 465-nucleotide ribosomal RNA is filed under the name uncultured bacterium. RNAcentral describes it as "partial 16S ribosomal RNA". It matches the Rfam family "Bacterial small subunit ribosomal RNA", at positions 28 to 507 of the family's 1533-position model. The record is from RNAcentral.
GACGAACGCUGGCGGCGUGCUUAACACAUGCAAGUCGAACGGAAAGGCCCUGCUUGCAGGGUACUCGAGUGGCGAACGGGUGAGUAACACGUGGGUGAUCUGCCCUGCACUUCGGGAUAAGCGUGGGAAACUGGGUCUAAUACCGGAUAGGAGCCAUUUUUAGUGUGAUGGUUGGAAAGUUUUUUCGGUGUAGGAUGAGCUCGCGGCCUAUCAGCUUGUUGGUGGGGUAAUGGCCUACCAAGGCGGCGACGGGUAGCCGGCCUGAGAGGGUGGACGGCCACAUUGGGACUGAGAUACGGCCCAGACUCCUACGGGAGGCAGCAGUGGGGAAUAUUGCACAAUGGGCGCAAGCCUGAUGCAGCGACGCCGCGUGGGGGAUGACGGCCUUCGGGUUGUAAACUCCUUUCGCUAGGGACGAAGCUUUUUGUGACGGUACCUAGAGAAGAAGCACCGGCUAACUACGUG